CAACAUUUAAGCUUUCAAUCAGAAAAAAAAUAAUUUCAAAAAGUGAUUCCCUUAUAUAGUUUUUUUUUGUCAUUUGUUGAUUAUGCAUUAUUAAAUGUUCUUUUCAAUUGCGUGUUACUUUUGGUUAAUUAUCCAACUAAGAUAACUACAAUCGUUAGAAUAAUCUAAUAAAUUUACUAUAUUUUCAUGUCAUGCUCUUACAUAUUGAGAAUAUGAUCUAGACAGCAUCUAAGGAUCCACAGAGGUGACAAGCGAUAAUUGUAUUGAGAUGAAUUUUACGGUAAGGAUAUACAAAUACAAAUAAGAUAAAAUAACAGCUAUUGUGAGUUGCAUAUUGGCAAAAACAUGUAAAUACAUGUGUAUUUCAUUGGUAAGCAGACGAUUCAACCUUGUUUGUUUUUAUGAUUAUGUCUAUGACUAUAUUCAGUUAAUUGACCUGAUUGAUAAUUCCUUAGUAAAGUCGGUAUUAAUACUAUUGAUGCACACUUUGUUGGUGAUAUUGCUGCUGAUUUAUUUUCAUGAUCAUAGUUUUUUUUUCAAAUUUAAAACAUGAAAGGACAGUUCUUGUGUUUCUGCCUUUGUGUACCGUAGACGUAUAUACAGCGAUAUGUGCUUGAUUAAAUCGCAAUCUGUAACAACCAAUUGCCAACUUUGAUUUACCUAUCAAACCCAUUGCAGUGUGCGUAUACUCAUAGAUACCAGAUAAAUCAUGUUCUUCAUUUGUACACCAGAUAGGCGGUUAUUUUACAAGAGACACAUCAGCAACGCUUGAUAAAAAAGCUAAAAAUUCUAAUUAUUUACGAAGUUGCAGUGUGUGAAGCCCAAAAUACCAUAAGGGUUAAAAACUUAUAAAAAAAUCCAAAAUUAAUGCAAAGUUUGCUCGUUUAUCCGAAUGGCAGUUCAUUUUUGUGAAUAAAAUUGGAAAUCUGUUUAAACAAAUGUCAACGAAAGGAUGGUGUCAAGUUAUGUCAAUCACACAUGAGUUAACCAAUAGAAACGGCGAUACGAGGUCAAACUAUUUUCUUCAACAAUGCACUAGUGUGAAUAAAGUACUGGCAUGUCUCUAAAUUGCCAUUUCUCUUUCAGUUAAGCAGUAAAAAAAUUCAACAGUCAGUCCGCAAAACCUGUACCUAAGAUGUUCCUGACUUCGAAGAUGUUAUAACUUUUAGUAUUUUCUUUAUUAACAAUUUAUAUAUAAACCUGCAAAUGUCGCCGAUAGACCUGCAGGAAUUUUCGGCGGAAAUAUAUAUCAAAGUUGCUUUUUCGGGCUUCAGCUGGUCCCGAAACAAACUCUAUACUAGUUUAUUGAAAAUAGACAUCACUCUAACCUCCAACAAAUACUAAAAUAAAAAACAAAAAGCCAACAGCGGCUCCUUAUGUGGGACAGGCGCAAAUAUGUGGCGGAUGUCACCAUGUUUUGUGAGAUUGCAACCCUCUCCUUUAUGCCUCUAAGUAAUGUACAUUAAACGAAAACUCAGCAAUACGCGCAGCAAACAUCAUUUAAAAAUAAGUCCGCUGUCAGAAUAGGUAACAAAAAAAUGAAGUAUAUUUAGAAUGUCUAAUGUACCAGAUAUAAUAAAUUCAAUCAGUUUUAAUUUGCAGGGUAACACAUAUUGAAAAACUUCAAUAUAAUUCAAAUAUUUUCUUCAACUGAAAUAUGUCAUCAGAAUGAUAGCUUAACUUAUUGAAUACUUGACAAAACAAAAAGCAUCAAGAGGUCAAUAUGUCGUCUAAAGCACAAGUGUGUACACAGUAUUUGCAUUACUUCCUCUACACUGUCGAGCUAUUUUAAAUUAAAUAGUUUAACAGGUAUUCAAAAAAAAAAAAUGUACCAGAAAGGAGAAGGUUCGGUAAGGGCCGAUUUUGGCUUCAAAUUUCAGGUUCGUCUAACGAAAGAUUUUGAACACUUUUUAAACACUUAAGCGUCUAUUUCAGUUGAUUCAAUAAGUUUAUGUGAAACGAUUUAACUGAUUUAGUCAUUAAAAACGCUCCAAUUCAACUUAAAUACGACAAAUCUAUCAGAAAUGCCAAAAUAUGUCACUUUUCAGAUGGUUUUUGUCAAAAAGGAAAAUGGCCGCAUCAGUAUGUAUCCUUAUCCUUUAUAUAUGUUAUGUAUUAUCGAUUUAUACAACUUACAUUUCAAUAUUAAGAAUGAACAUGAAUGCAGCCACUUUCAUUUAAGGUGGAAACCAUUUAAAAUUUAACUAAAAUGCCCAAAUUGUGAAGAUUUCAGUAUCUUAGCAUGACUUUAUGAUGCUAGUAUCUGAUGCAUGUGCAUUGUAUUGUCCAAAACAGCCCAUAUUUAUGUAGCAGAGGAAUUCUACUUUCCAAUAAAUAAGUAAAAGUUUGCAUUUUAACAAUUUUGUAAAACUGCUAUAUUUUGGGGCCAAAAAAGGACUUUACUGGACCUACUCCUUUGUCUCAUGUGGAACAUGCACAUAAUAAGAUUGGAGAGGUAUUAAUAAUGCAAUUAUUUUUAAGUUUCGGAAGAAAUAUGAAUAUUUAAAGUAGCUGUUUAAUAACAAUUCAUUAACAUCAUUGAAAUUUUGUCGAAAAUUUUGCAGGAAUACUUUGCAGGAAACGUCGAAAUUGUCAACCAGGGAAGUCGUGAAUGGUGCGCUUAUGUUGAGGUUACUGAAGGAGAACUCGAUUGUUAUGAUUGAUUGCGAGUUAUCUACAAACCAAGCACGGUGACAAAUGCUUUAAAUUUGCUUUUUGUUGAAUGCAUGACAAAAGGCAGUUAAUGUUGAAAAUGAGAAACAUACAUAGUUAACGAGCCUUUCGAUUUCAAUAUUUAAUAUGUUGGAAGAUGAACAAAUAUAUCCUACUUUGAGCAUUUCAUCCGUUAUUUUAAAACAGAGCUUCAACAAUUUAUUUUGUGAUUUGUUUUAAUAACUCGCCCUGGCCUAUAAUAUGUUAUAACCAUACAGCUACAAAUACGAAGCAAACAGAAUGAAAAUCAGGUAAAGGAAGACGAAUACUGCCAUAGUUCUGUUUUGUGUUUUGUCAAUUCAAGAAGAAAGAGUGUGAUACAAUACAGAUGUUGAAAAUGUCUCACAUGAUAACUCUUAACAUACAAACAAUGAAGAGAGAAAGAUAUGAAGUAUGCAUUUCCUAUCUCAGUACAUAGCUUGAUACAUUAGUAAAUUGCAUUCCGAUACUUAAAUUUCUUACAAACUUAAUUGUAACAGGACUAUAAACUAAUUGAAACAACCGAACAACUGCAAUUGCGGUAUCAAUUAUGUAUAUAAUUGCCAUGUUUUAUGUACACGAAUUCGUAAUAUUAAAUGAUUUUGAUACACUGUCUUUUUAUUUUUGUUUUUGUAUUUCCCUUUGUUUGCUCAAGUCCUCAGGACAGAUGAAAGGACAGACUGUAUGUACG
This 3382-nucleotide long non-coding RNA is filed under the name Mytilus galloprovincialis (Mediterranean mussel). Lineage: Eukaryota; Metazoa; Mollusca; Bivalvia; Mytilida; Mytilidae. The record is from RNAcentral.